Molecule: ribosomal RNA, 497 nt
Filed under: uncultured bacterium
Lineage: Bacteria
Description: partial 16S ribosomal RNA
Rfam family: Bacterial small subunit ribosomal RNA
Source: RNAcentral
GAUGAACGCUGGCGGCGUGCCUAAUACAUGCAAGUCGAGCGAACAGACGAGGAGCUUGCUUCUCUGACGUUAGCGGCGGACGGGUGAGUAACACGUGGAUAACCUACCUAUAAGACUGGGAUAACUUCGGGAAACCGGAGCUAAUACCGGAUAAUAUAUUGAACCGCAUGGUUCAAUAGUGAAAGACGGUUUUGCUGUCACUUAUAGCUGGAUCCGCGCCGCAUUAGCUAGUUGGUAAGGUAACGGCUUACCAAGGCAACGAUGCGUAGCCGACCUGAGAGGGUGAUCGGCCACACUGGAACUGAGACACGGUCCAGACUCCUACGGGAGGCAGCAGUAGGGAAUCUUCCGCAAUGGGCGAAAGCCUGACGGAGCAACGCCGCGUGAGUGAUGAAGGUCUUCGGAUCGUAAAACUCUGUUAUUAGGGAAGAACAAAUGUGUAAGUAACUAUGCACGUCUUGACGGUACCUAAUCAGAAAGCCACGGCUAACUACGUG